Molecule: long non-coding RNA, 259 nt
Filed under: Setaria viridis
Lineage: Eukaryota; Viridiplantae; Streptophyta; Magnoliopsida; Poales; Poaceae
Description: long non-coding RNA (SVIR_LNC005923)
Source: RNAcentral
GAAGUCAUUCUGAUGUAGCACAUUGAUAUAUGAUAUAUGAGAAAUAUGUCUAUACAACAUUUAAAAACGUUAGUGUUCCUUCCUUUCCCUUCUCUCUCCUCGCUCUAGAAAAGAAAUUGGCGCCUAAAUUGCCCAGAGUACAAGCCGCUGCACUACCCCCCUUCAGUGUGCAACCAAAGGGCACACUACUCAAAGCACAGGCAGAUACAAGUUGAUGGCCUAAACAGAAAUGCUGAUAAGCUUCAAUACCGCCGAUGGU